This 1159-nucleotide long non-coding RNA is filed under the name Salmo salar (Atlantic salmon). Its description in RNAcentral is "lncRNA (ENSSSAG00000115490.1)". The record is from RNAcentral. Lineage: Eukaryota; Metazoa; Chordata; Actinopteri; Salmoniformes; Salmonidae.
UCUAACUAACUAAAUUGAUAAACUUGCUAGCCAGCUAAAGACAUAUAGCUAAUUAUUAUUAUUACAUUUUUCCAGGCACUUGAUCAUGUUUCACUCCAUUGUAUUGGCUUGGCAGGAGAAAACAGUCCUACCCUACUCGUUUGGCGGUAAGACAUUUGAACAACAUCUGAUGAAAAACAUAGGAAAUGCAGCCAGCUGUGUUCUGUUAAAUCUAGGCUUGCUAGCCAGCCAAGUUAUUUGUGCAUUCUGUUGAUGAGUCUGUUUUAAUAGCUAGCUGCAUGCAAUGUCUGUUUACCUAGCUAACUUUUGCUAAUUUUCUCCUGCCACUUUCCCUUCCCCUAUUGUGUUGCACCAUUGUAGUUGGUGUUACUAGUUAAAAUUAGAGACUACAUUUUUCUAUUCUAGAAACAGCAGGGCUUUAAACUUCAGAACCCAGUUCCUACAUUUGAAUAUCCAUUUUUUUUUUAUCAAACAAAACUAAACUACAUUUUAUCUCUGGGACCCUCAGGAUGACAAAUGUGAGCAAGAUUACUGAAUAUUGACAGACAUACCACCCUGACACCACACAGAUGUAAAGAACUUGUUGUUAACCUCCCAGCCACCAGGAUAAUCACCAUAUCCCAGGAUAUAAUCCAGGAGAAAUAGAUUCACCCAUGUUAUUGUUUAUCAUGCAGAUUUGUCAGGACAUUGUAAUUUAUGAAGCUCAUUCUAGAAUAGAGACGUGAUUUCUGUCCCAGGGGAUUGCACUGUGUGCACGUCUUCAAUUUUGACCACAAUUAGAUGAAUUAGGUGUUAGUGAAAGGGUGGAACAAAAACCUGUAAACUCUUGUCCUGUGUAUAAACAAAACCUAUGGCUGUCAUGACUAAAUUUGCCCCCAUGUACUGAACAAGUUUAUGAAUGUUGGAGGUGAAUCUCCUUGAGAUAUCCCUUACUUGGGGUUUACUUAUUUUGUGCAAUGGGCUGUGUUUUAAGGACUCGUGCACAGAGGAAAACCAAUAUGUAUUUUUUUAUGUAUUCAAAAUUACAGGUGUUGAUGUCUCCACAUUUCUGGUUUGAGGCUUGGGCAUCUGGUGACUGCAGUUCAUCUGUCUAAUCCCCUGCAAGGAGAGAGAAAGGCAUCAAUAAUAUUACAAUGCUGUAUUCAUUUCAUUGUUUGAU